This 889-nucleotide ribosomal RNA is filed under the name Octosporopsis nicolai. Its description in RNAcentral is "eukaryotic LSU rRNA". It matches the Rfam family "Eukaryotic large subunit ribosomal RNA", at positions 74 to 941 of the family's 3401-position model. The record is from RNAcentral. Lineage: Eukaryota; Fungi; Ascomycota; Pezizomycetes; Pezizales; Pyronemataceae.
AUUGCCUUAGUAACUGCGAGUGAAGCGGCAAAAGCUCAAAUUUGAAAUCUGGCACUUUUGGUGUCCGAGUUGUAAUUUGGAGGGGUAUCUUCGGAAAAUGGCACCGUUCUAUGUUCCUUGGAACAGGACAUCACAGAGGGUGAGAAUCCCGUGCUUGGACGGACCAGCCAUCUUCCACAUGAAGUGCCUCCGACGAGUCGAGUUGUUUGGGAAUGCAGCUCAAAAUGGGUGGUAAAUUUCAUCUAAAGCUAAAUAUUGGCGAGAGACCGAUAGCGCACAAGUAGAGUGAUCGAAAGAUGAAAAGCACUUUGAAAAGAGAGUUAAAAAGUACGUGAAAUUGUUGAAAGGGAAGCGCUUGAGAUCAAACUCAGUUAAUGGUGAUCAACUGUUGCUUUUGCUCAGUGCACUUGCCAUUUGAUUGGGCCAGCAUCGGUUCUGACGGUGGGAAAAACGGCUGGGGAAUGUAGCUCUUUCUUUGGAGGGAGUGUUAUAGACCUGGUCUUUCAUACCGCCAGCUAGGACCGAGGACUGCACUCAUUUUUUUUUUAAUGGGUUAGGAUGCUGGUGUUAAUGGUCUUAAGCGACCCGUCUUGAAACACGGACCAAGGAGUCUAACAACUAUGCGAGUGUUCGGGUGGAAAACCCUUGCGCGUAAUGAAAGUGAACGGAGGUGGGAACCUAAAAAUUUAUUUAUUUUCUGGUGCACCAUCGACCGAUCCUGAUGUUUUCGGAAGGAUUUGAGUAUGAGCAUAGCUGUUGGGACCCGAAAGAUGGUGAACUAUGCCUGAAUAGGGUGAAGCCAGAGGAAACUCUGGUGGAGGCUCGCAGCGGUUCUGACGUGCAAAUCGAUCGUCAAAUUUGGGUAUAGGGGCGAAAGACUAAUCGAACC